RNAcentral lists this ribosomal RNA (253 nucleotides) under uncultured bacterium. RNAcentral's name for it is "partial 16S ribosomal RNA". It matches the Rfam family "Bacterial small subunit ribosomal RNA", at positions 524 to 776 of the family's 1533-position model. The record is from RNAcentral.
UACGUAGGGUGCGAGCGUUAAUCGGAAUUACUGGGCGUAAAGCGUGCGCAGGCGGUUUUGUAAGCCAGAUGUGAAAUCCCCGGGCUCAACCUGGGAACUGCAUUUGUGACUGCAUGGCUGGAGUGCGGCAGAGGGGGAUGGAAUUCCGCAUGUAGCAGUGAAAUGCGUAGAUAUGCGGAGGAACACCGAUGGCGAAGGCAAUCCCCUGGGCCUGCACUGACGCUCAUGCACGAAAGCGUGGGGAGCAAACAGG